UUUGAAAUCUGGCCCCCAGGGUCCGAGUUGUAAUUUGCAGAGGAUGCUUUGGGCGAGGUGCCUUCCGAGUUCCCUGGAACGGGACGCCACAGAGGGUGAGAGCCCCGUCUGGUCGGACGCCGAGCCUGUGUAAAGCUCCUUCGACGAGUCGAGUAGUUUGGGAAUGCUGCUCAAAAUGGGAGGUAUAUGUCUUCUAAAGCUAAAUAUUGGCCAGAGACCGAUAGCGCACAAGUAGAGUGAUCGAAAGAUGAAAAGCACUUUGAAAAGAGGGUUAAAGAGUACGUGAAAUUGUUGAAAGGGAAGCGCCCAUGACCAGACUUGGGCCCGGUGAAUCACCCAGCGUUCUCGCUGGUGCACUUUGCCGGGCACAGGCCAGCAUCGGUUUGGCGCGGGGGACAAAGGCUUCGGGAACGUGGCUCCCUCGGGAGUGUUAUAGCCCGCUGCGCAAUACCCUGCGCCGGACUGAGGUACGCGCAUCGCAAGGAUGCUGGCGUAAUGGUCAUCAGCGACCCGUCUUGAAACACGGACCAAGGAGUCGUCUUCGUAUGCGAGUGUUCGGGUGUCAAACCCCUACGCGGAAUGAAAGUGAACGCAGGUGAGAGCUUCGGCGCAUCAUCGACCGAUCCUGAUGUUCUCGGAUGGAUUUGAGUAGGAGCAUACGGGGCCGGACCCGAAAGAAGGUGAACUAUGCCUGUAUAGGGUGAAGCCAGAGGAAACUCUGGUGGAGGCUCGCAGCGGUUCUGACGUGCGAAUCGAUCGUCAAAUAUGGGCAUGGGGGCGAAAGACUAAUCGAACCUUCUAGUAGCUGGUUUC
RNAcentral lists this ribosomal RNA (813 nucleotides) under Cordyceps morakotii. Its description in RNAcentral is "LSU rRNA". It matches the Rfam family "Eukaryotic large subunit ribosomal RNA", at positions 114 to 958 of the family's 3401-position model. Lineage: Eukaryota; Fungi; Ascomycota; Sordariomycetes; Hypocreales; Cordycipitaceae. The record is from RNAcentral.